UGUUUUGGUAAUUUGGUAAAAGAACUUGUGCUCCCCUCUUGAUUAAAGGGGAGCUGUGAGAGCACCCUGGCCAGCCUGGAGCAGGCUAGCCCCUUAAGGGGCAAAUUCAGGCAAGGAAAUUAUACAUUUCCCAGCUAGUUUAAGGUUAUGUUUAUAACUUGAGGAGCUAGUCAAGGCAAUUAGAAGGAUUCUACUGUUCUAGGGUUACAGGUUUUCUGAUACUGUAUUAGAUGUAAGAAGCAAAAAUAUAAGAAUUUUUUUGUUGUUGCUGUUAAGCUGGCUGAUUGCAGGUAAAUCUAAUAGAAGUUUCUAGGUUAGUCAUUCAAUGAAAUAAUGAUAUGAAGGCAGGCUUACAGCUAGAUUUGCUGGCAGCACAGCUCUAAGCUCCCGAGGUGACCAUGCUGUUCAAUUUCUUGUUGGUACAACACUGUUAACUAGAUGGGUUAGUGUUAACAAGCUGUUGUCAGCUUUCCUGAGAAGACAGAACUGUGCCUGUGAUGCAGGCCCUUUUUCUUCCAACAAAAAAAGGAUGGGGAGCAGUGAUUCCAAAACAAGUCAACAGCCCUGGCAUCCAGGGGAGGAAGGAGCGAAAGAUGUAAAACAGGAUGAUGUCUGAUGUGUGAAACCCCUGCUACCCUAAAAUGUAGAAGAAAUUUGAAGAUAAGAAUGGUAAAGUCAAAACCAGCAUAUGGGAAGCUGAAAGCACUGCAAGGGUCAGGCUGUUUAUAAACAUCACCUUGAAGAGAGAAAAGUCAGGACUAGAGUUUAUGGCUCAGCAGGCAAACAGAAGCUGCUAGAGCUACUGAGACAAGUAGGUUUAGUCCUCACUUUGCUCUGCUCCUAACAAUUCACACCCCCUCCUACCUCCAAGGGAUCUGUGAUUGUUGGCAUGGAGAUUCAGAGGCAGAAGAGGCAUCAUUUAAGAACAAGUAAAUGAAGAACAAAGUGGUUGAAUGUUUUUCAGUUUGUAGCAAUGGUCCUCCAGCCUUUAACUAUACACAAAAGUGAAAUAAUUUAAUGUACCCUUUGAACAGCCUCGUUGGACUAAGGUUAAGAGUAAAGUAUUUAUGCACAAGUAUGUUCAUCAUUAAAAUUGCAAAAUGUU
Long non-coding RNA from Passer domesticus (house sparrow), 1105 nucleotides. RefSeq lists it as uncharacterized. The record is from RefSeq and is a predicted model, not a curated record. NCBI's taxonomy places the organism in Eukaryota, Metazoa, Chordata, Aves, Passeriformes, Passeridae. The transcript is spliced from 3 exons.